This 515-nucleotide long non-coding RNA is filed under the name Panax ginseng (ginseng). Its description in RNAcentral is "long non-coding RNA (PGIN_LNC015109)". The record is from RNAcentral. Lineage: Eukaryota; Viridiplantae; Streptophyta; Magnoliopsida; Apiales; Araliaceae.
UCAAACAAAGAAUUAGUUCAUGAUUAUUGAAUUAAAAUUAAGAAUCCACAAUUGAAAUAACAUUAAAAGAUAAAAAUAAGAGUAAAGAAAAGAAUUGAAUCUGUUGUCAGCAAAUCUCCAUCUUCCUCAAGCUCCUGCUCUUGAUCUUCAAUGGUCUUUAAGUUGCUUCAAACUCCAAAUCUAAGUAGAACUAGUGUUUUGAUCUAAGUUACUCUACUCUAAUCUAAUGGAAUCUUAUUUCUCCUCUAAUAUCACAUAAUCUCUCUUCUAAUCCUUGUUAUUCUCCUCCUUUUAUAAGCCUUUUUACAUGUCUUUAAGUCCUCUUGGAAGUCCUUGAGUUAAUUGGAUCGAAAUAAUCCUUCCCGAACUCAAAUUUGGCCAAAAACCACUUCUUUUACGCGUACCCCCGCCUCGACGGGGGUCUAGGCUUGUCAAGGGCCCUCCCCGACGGGCUAUAGUACUGUUUUGCAGCUGGUACCCCCGCCUCGGUGGGGGUUUUACUAAGGAAAAGCCCG